Molecule: ribosomal RNA, 301 nt
Filed under: uncultured bacterium
Lineage: Bacteria
Description: partial 16S ribosomal RNA
Rfam family: Bacterial small subunit ribosomal RNA
Source: RNAcentral
CAGUCGCCGCGGGAAUACGUAGGUGGCAAGCGUUGUCCGGAAUUAUUGGGCGUAAAGCGCGCGCAGGUGGAUUAAUAAGUCUGAUGUGAAAGCCCACGGCUCAACCGUGGAGGGUCAUUGGGAACUGUUAAACUUGAGUGCAGGAGAGAAAAGUGGAAUUCCUAGUGUAGCGGUGAAAUGCGUAGAGAUCGGAAAGAACACCAACGGCGAAAGCACUCUGCUGGGCCGACACUGACACUGAGAGACGAAAGCUAGGGGAGCAAAUGGGAUUAGAUACCCGAGUAGCCUGUCUCUUAUACAC